This is a non-coding RNA of Schizosaccharomyces pombe (fission yeast), 623 nucleotides long. The record is from the annotation of a GenBank genome assembly. NCBI's taxonomy places the organism in Eukaryota, Fungi, Ascomycota, Schizosaccharomycetes, Schizosaccharomycetales, Schizosaccharomycetaceae.
UUAGCUCCAAAACUAGAUAUCGAUUCUUUCCCUGAAAUUACUGUAGAAAGACUAUGCCCAUUCAUCUCAAGGUAAGAACUUUUGUCCACAUUAACGGGUGUAUGAGAUGAGAAAUGGCGAGGAGAUGAUGAGCUCAAAACAUCGUUUGCACUAACAGCAGCCUCACCAGUAAAUUGCCGUUCAUCGUAAUCUUCUUGCACUUCUUCACUGAACACAGACCCUUUCAACAAUGGAUCAGACUGUAAUAAUGGAAUCGAAAUUUUGGCACUUUCGGCUUCCAGUACACCCAUCAUUUGUAAUUCAUGCAUUUUUGCAGUAGGCUCAAAUUGAUGUUCUCGCAUUAAAUUUUCCCAAGGAGAACGUAAGGACCUCAUUUCCGUAGUACUGUAAAAACUAAUGUUACAGCCAAUUGGAAAUGUAUAUAACCAUUCGGUAUCCUCCUUUAAAUUAUUCAAAAAGGAAGACACUGAGAAGUUUGAAACUGAUGACGUUAAGGAAUUUGGUAUUACAUUAGAAGGGGAAACGGAAGAAGAAAUUCUGCUGGUUAGUUGGGAUCUUUUUUUGUUUUUCACCGGAUUUUUGUAUCGAACAAUAGGCGUUAGAAAUAAAGGAACUUUUCCUAA